This 1389-nucleotide ribosomal RNA is filed under the name Triticum aestivum (bread wheat). RNAcentral describes it as "partial small subunit ribosomal RNA". The record is from RNAcentral. Lineage: Eukaryota; Viridiplantae; Streptophyta; Magnoliopsida; Poales; Poaceae.
AUGUGGCCCGCUUCCAAGUGCGUCUGCGAUCCGGCCACCCACGCCGGGUCCUUCAAGUGCCGCUUCCACCGCACUAACUCCCAGGGCCAGGGAAGCCGCCCUUCUUCGCCCCCUUCACCGGCCGCGGCCAACGCGGUGCCGCGGCACCCGGCCUUGCCGUUCUCGUCCUCCGGGAACUACCUGAGAGGUGGGAGGGAGUACGAAAAUAAACCGUCUCGGCUGAGCGGGAGGUGGGAGCAAGUACCAAAGAAGUACCAAAAAAGAUCGGGAGUGGGUGCUGAGAGGAAGGAUGGCAAACCUCCAUUGUCAAUCGGCCGGAGCUACAUCGUCAUUUGGAUCAGAGCAUGGACAAAAUCGAGAUGGGGCUACCACGCUUUCCUCGCCGCCAUCGCCUGUCGAUGCCACUUCAGCGCCACGAGAAUGGGACUGAGGGACGAAGGGAAGAGAAGGGAAGGAAGCGAGCUAAUGACGUACCUAUGUUUGGCUGAGGGCGAUGCGAUUUGCAACAAGAAGAUGCAGAUCUUCGUCCUCCUCCCGAAGCCUAACGAUCCCAAGUUCCCCAACCGCCUCGCGCUGAAGGUCUCGGCCGGAGACACGGUCGCGAGCCUUAAGGCCAGGAUCGAGAAAGCCGACCGGGUGCCACCAUGGCGGCAGCGUCUCGUGUUCGCCGGCUCGGACCUGCCUGACGGCCGCGCCACGCUGGCCGAACUCGGCCUCGUCAACUUGUCGACGGUGCGCCUCGUGGAGACGAACAUGCAGGUGUUCGUCCGGGUGGUCGAGUGUAUCAGUUUCUACGACAUCGCAAGCAGCGACACCGUCGAGAGCUUCCGGUCAAGGUUGCAUGAGCGGGUGGGCUGUCCUCCGGUGCAGCAGCGCCUCAUCCACGCCGGCAGGCAGCUGGAGGACGGCCACACCCUCGCCGACUAUGGCGUGCGGAACGAGUCCACGCUGCACUUCAUUUGCCGGCCCGCCUAUCAGAGAAGAAGGAUGGUCGAGCUGUACAUUGAGGUUAGAGACACGGUGGGCAGGAUCAAGGAGCGCCUGCAGGAGGCCGAGGGGGUCCCGACGGAGUGCCAGAGGUUCUACCUCCAUGGAAAGGAGCUGGACGAUGGCCGCGCGCUCGCGGACUACGACGGUGCCUUGGAGAGAAAAAUUCCUGUGGUUGUUGACUGCCAACGGUGCUGGCCGGAGAGUGACCGCACCACGAAGACGAAGAAGGGAAAGGUGCCGCCGGUUGUCAUUGCAGGAACGCUUAAGAGACACACAGACGUUGAGGUCGGUACUGUGGGGAAAAAGUUCAAGAUGGGGCCCGAUCAGGUGGAGGAGAUUCAGGCCGUGAAGUGGAGGGGCUUCACCGUUUUUCUGAUCGAUCCGGCGCCAGAACAAUAA